Molecule: ribosomal RNA, 531 nt
Filed under: uncultured bacterium
Lineage: Bacteria
Description: bacterial SSU rRNA
Rfam family: Bacterial small subunit ribosomal RNA
Source: RNAcentral
AAUAGAUACCCUGGUAGUCCACGCCGUAAACGAUGAGUGCUAAGUGUUAGGGGGUUUCCGCCCCUUAGUGCUGCAGCUAACGCAUUAAGCACUCCGCCUGGGGAGUACGGUCGCAAGACUGAAACUCAAAGGAAUUGACGGGGGCCCGCACAAGCGGUGGAGCAUGUGGUUUAAUUCGAAGCAACGCGAAGAACCUUACCAGGUCUUGACAUCCCGCUGACCGGCCUAGAGAUAGGCUUUUCCCUUCGGGGACAGCGGUGACAGGUGGUGCAUGGUUGUCGUCAGCUCGUGUCGUGAGAUGUUGGGUUAAGUCCCGCAACGAGCGCAACCCUUGAUCUUAGUUGCCAGCAUUCAGUUGGGCACUCUAAGGUGACUGCCGGUGAUAAACCGGAGGAAGGUGGGGAUGACGUCAAAUCAUCAUGCCCCUUAUGACCUGGGCUACACACGUGCUACAAUGGACGGUACAGAGGGGUCGCAACCCCGCGAGGGUGAGCUAAUCCCAUAAAAACCGUUCUCAGUUCGGAUUGUAGG